AUUGCUUCUCGGCCUUUUGGCUAAGAUCAAAUGUGGUAUCUGUUCUUACCCGUUUAAUAUCUGAUAUGUCUUCUAUCCGAGGACAAUAUAUUAACUGGAUUUUUGGAGCAGGGAGAUGGAAUAGGAGCUUGCUCUGUCCACUCUGCGCAUUGACCUGGUAUUGCAGUACCUCCAGGAACGGUGCACCCCCU
Small nuclear RNA from Equus asinus (donkey), 191 nucleotides. Its record names the gene U2. It matches the Rfam family "U2 spliceosomal RNA". From Rfam's summary of the family: U2 is a small nuclear RNA (snRNA) component of the spliceosome (involved in pre-mRNA splicing). The record is from Ensembl. NCBI's taxonomy places the organism in Eukaryota, Metazoa, Chordata, Mammalia, Perissodactyla, Equidae.